This 254-nucleotide ribosomal RNA is filed under the name uncultured bacterium. RNAcentral's name for it is "partial 16S ribosomal RNA". It matches the Rfam family "Bacterial small subunit ribosomal RNA", at positions 524 to 776 of the family's 1533-position model. The record is from RNAcentral.
GACAGAGGGUGCAAACGUUGCUCGGAAUCACUGGGCGUAAAGGGCGUGUAGGCGGGAAGUAAAGUCAGAUGUGAAAUCCCUGGGCUCAACCCAGGAACUGCAUUUGAAACUCACUUUCUUGAGUACCGGAGAGGAAGGUGGAAUACCUGGUGUAGAGGUGAAAUUCGUAGAUAUCAGGUGGAACACCAGUGGCGAAGGCGGCCUUCUGGACGGUAACUGACGCUGGAGACGCGAAAGCGUGGGGAGCAAACAGG